CACACCGCCCGUCACACCACGAAAGCCCGCUGCAACAGAAGUCGUAGAUUCAACCCGCAAGGGAGAUAUACGCCAAAGUUGUGGUUGGUGAUUGGGGUG
This 99-nucleotide ribosomal RNA is filed under the name uncultured bacterium. RNAcentral describes it as "partial 16S ribosomal RNA". It matches the Rfam family "Bacterial small subunit ribosomal RNA", at positions 1386 to 1482 of the family's 1533-position model. The record is from RNAcentral.